This 405-nucleotide ribosomal RNA is filed under the name uncultured Campylobacterota bacterium. RNAcentral's name for it is "bacterial SSU rRNA". It matches the Rfam family "Bacterial small subunit ribosomal RNA", at positions 974 to 1375 of the family's 1533-position model. The record is from RNAcentral. Lineage: Bacteria; Pseudomonadati; Campylobacterota.
CCUGGCCUUGACAUAGAAAGAACUUCCUAGAGAUAGUUUGGUGCUAGCUUGCUAGAACUUUCAUACAGGUGCUGCACGGCUGUCGUCAGCUCGUGUCGUGAGAUGUUGGGUUAAGUCCCGCAACGAGCGCAACCCUCGUGUUUAGUUACUAACAGUUCGGCUGAGGACUCUAGACAGACUGCCUGGGUAACCAGGAGGAAGGUGAGGACGACGUCAAGUCAUCAUGGCCCUUACGGCCAGGGCUACACACGUGCUACAAUGGGGUAUACAAAGAGCCGCAAUACCGCGAGGUGGAGCAAAUCUCAUAAAAUAUCUCCCAGUUCGGAUUGAAGUCUGCAACUCGACUACAUGAAGUUGGAAUCGCUAGUAAUCGUGAAUCAGCUAUGUCACGGUGAAUACGUUCCC